CUUGCCUACGGGGGGCAGCAGUGGGGGAUAUUGCACAAUGGGGGGAACCCUGAUGCAGCGACGCCGCGUGAGCGAUGGAGUACUUCGGUAUGUAAAGCUCUGUCAGCAGGGAAGAAAAUGACGGUACCUGACCAAGAAGCCCCGGCUAACUACGUGCCAGCAGCCGCGGUAAUACGUAGGGGGCAAGCGUUAUCCGGAUUUACUGGGUGUAAAGGGAGCGUAGACGGCAAGGCAAGCCAGAAGUGAAAGGGCAGGGCUCAACCCUGUACAUGCUUUUGGAACUGUGGAGCUAGAGUGCAGGAGAG
Molecule: ribosomal RNA, 305 nt
Filed under: uncultured bacterium
Lineage: Bacteria
Description: bacterial SSU rRNA
Rfam family: Bacterial small subunit ribosomal RNA
Source: RNAcentral